CCCCUAGAUGUUCUGGGCCGCACGCGCGCUACACUGAACAGUUCAACAAGUCUUAACCUUGGCCGAUAGGUCUGGGUAAUCUUUGAACGCUGUUCGUGAUUGGGAUAGACCUUUGCAAUUAUGGGUCUUCAACGAGGAAUUCCUAGUAAACGCAAGUCAUCAGCUUGCAUUGAUUACGUCCCUGCCCUUUGUACACACCGCCCGCCGCACCUACCGAUUGAAUGGUCCGGUGAAAUCUCGGGACGGCGGCUCGGUCGCUUGCGUCCGACUGCUGAAACUUGAUUAAACCAUAUCAUUUAGAGGAAGGUGAAGUCGUAACA
Molecule: ribosomal RNA, 320 nt
Filed under: uncultured eukaryote
Lineage: Eukaryota
Description: partial 18S ribosomal RNA
Rfam family: Eukaryotic small subunit ribosomal RNA
Source: RNAcentral